GAUGAACGCUGGCGGCGUGCCUAAUACAUGCAAGUCGAGCGAACGGACGAGAAGCUUGCUUCUCUGAUGUUAGCGGCGGACGGGUGAGUAACACGUGGAUAACCUACCUAUAAGACUGGGAUAACUUCGGGAAACCGUAGCUAAUACCGGAUAAUAUUUUGAACCGCAUGGUUCAAAAGUGAAAGACGGUCUUGCUGUCACUUAUAGAUGGAUCCGCGCUGCAUUAGCUAGUUGGUAAGGUAACGGCUUACCAAGGCAACGAGGCAUAGCCGACCUGAGGGGGUGAUCGGCCACACUGGAACUGAGACACGGUCCCGACUCCUACGGGAGGCAGCAGUAGGGAAUCUUCCGCAAUGGGCGAAAGCCUGACGGAGCAACGCCGCGUGAGUGAUGAAGGUCUUCGGAUCGUAAAACUCUGUUAUUAGGGAAGAACAUAUGUGUAAGUAACUGUGCACAUCUUGACGGUACCUAAUCAGAAAGCCACGGCUAACUACGUG
Molecule: ribosomal RNA, 497 nt
Filed under: uncultured bacterium
Lineage: Bacteria
Description: partial 16S ribosomal RNA
Rfam family: Bacterial small subunit ribosomal RNA
Source: RNAcentral